RNAcentral lists this ribosomal RNA (253 nucleotides) under uncultured bacterium. Its description in RNAcentral is "partial 16S ribosomal RNA". It matches the Rfam family "Bacterial small subunit ribosomal RNA", at positions 524 to 776 of the family's 1533-position model. The record is from RNAcentral.
UACAGAGGGGGCAAGCGUUGUUCGGAAUUACUGGGCGUAAAGGGCGCGUAGGCGGCCCGCUAAGUCGAACGUGAAAUCCCCGAGCUCAACUCGGGAACUGCGUCCGAUACUGGUGGGCUUGAAUCCGGGAGAGGGAUGCGGAAUUCCAGGUGUAGCGGUGAAAUGCGUAGAUAUCGUAAGGAAGACCAGUGGCGAAGGCGGGUCUCUGGACAGUUCCUGACGCUGAGGCACGAAGGUCAGGGGAGCAAACGGG